GCCUAGCUAGCUCAAUCGGCUUAGAGCGUGAGGCUUUUAAUCUCAAGGUUGCGGGUUCGAGUCCCGCGUUGGGCU
This 75-nucleotide transfer RNA is filed under the name Candida albicans 3153A. RNAcentral describes it as "tRNA-Lys (TTT) (tRNA-Lys-TTT-2-1)". It matches the Rfam family "tRNA". Rfam says of the family: Transfer RNA (tRNA) molecules are approximately 80 nucleotides in length. Their secondary structure includes four short double-helical elements and three loops (D, anti-codon, and T loops). Lineage: Eukaryota; Fungi; Ascomycota; Pichiomycetes; Serinales; Debaryomycetaceae. The record is from RNAcentral.